This 353-nucleotide ribosomal RNA is filed under the name uncultured bacterium. Its description in RNAcentral is "bacterial SSU rRNA". It matches the Rfam family "Bacterial small subunit ribosomal RNA", at positions 29 to 402 of the family's 1533-position model. The record is from RNAcentral.
AACGAACGCUGGCGGCAUGCCUAACACAUGCAAGUCGAACGGGAUCCUAGCUUGCUAGGUGAGAGUGGCGGACGGGUGAGUAACACGUGGGAAUCUGCCUUUUGGUUCGGGAUAACCGCGGGAAACUGCGGCUAAUACCGAAUGCCCUCGAGAGAGGAAAGAUUUAUCGCCAGAAGAGGAGCCCGCGUCCGAUUAGGUAGUUGGUGGGGUAAAGGCCUACCAAGCCGACGAUCGGUAGCUGGUCUGAGAGGAUGAUCAGCCACACUGGGACUGAGAUACGGCCCAGACUCCUACGGAGGCAGCAGUGGGGAAUAUUGGACAAUGGGGGCAACCCUGAUCCAGCAAUGCCGCGU